This 207-nucleotide ribosomal RNA is filed under the name uncultured bacterium. Its description in RNAcentral is "partial 16S ribosomal RNA". It matches the Rfam family "Bacterial small subunit ribosomal RNA", at positions 568 to 774 of the family's 1533-position model. The record is from RNAcentral.
CACGUAGGCGGCGCCGUAAGUUGGACGUGAAAGCUCUCGGCUCAACUGAGAGAGGUCGUUCAAUACUGCGGUGAUUGAGGUUGGAAGAGGAGAGUGGAAUUCCCGGUGUAGUGGUGGAAUGCGUAGAUAUCGGGAGGAACACCAGUGGCGAAGGCGGCUCUCUGGUCCACACCUGACGCUGAGGUGCGAAAGCGUGGGUAGCGAACG